CUUCGGUCCGGGGUUUGGACACCAACAUGGUGACCGAACGGUGUGUGAGUCGACUGGAAAGUCGAACCAAAGAAGGUGACAGUCCUGUAGCACACCCGAAGGAAUCCUAGGUGCACCAGAGUAGCACGGUGCUCGUGGAACUCCGUGUGAACGUGGGGGGUCCACCCUCCAAGGCUAAAUACUCCUCAACGACCAAUAGUGAACCAGUAAGGUGACUGAAUGAUGAAAAGUACCCCGAUAAGGGGAGUGAAAAGUACCUGAAACCGCAUGCUUACAAGCUGUGGGAGCCCGUUUCGGCGGGUGACCGCGUGCCUUUUGCAUAAUGAGCCGACGAGUUACUUUCUGUGGCAAGGUUAAGCUGUAUCCCAGCGGAGCCGAAGGGAAACCGAGUCUGAACAGGGCGCACAGUCGCAGGGGGUAGACGCGAAACCGGGUGAUCUACCCAUGGGCAGGUUGAAGGAGGGGUAAGACCCUUUGGAGGACCGAACACACCUACGUUGAAAAGUGGGGUGAUGACCUGUGGGGAGGAGUUAAAGUCUAAUCAAACCCGGAGAUAUCUCGUUCUCCUCGAAAUAGCUUUAGGGCUAGCCUCUCGUUACAGCGAUCGGGGGUAGAGCUACUGGAUGGGGCUGGGGGGCUCACCGCCUACCCACUCUAACCAAACUCCGAAUACCGAACGCCUUUGUCGAGGGAGUCAGUCCAUGGGAGAUAAUUUCCAUGGUCGAAAGGGAAACAGCCCAGACCGCCGGUUAAGGUCCCUGAACAUGUCUAAGUUUCUAAGGAAGUCGGAUUGCACUGACAGCCAGGAUGUUGGCUUAGAAGCAGCCACCAUUUAAAGAGUGCGUAACAGCUCACUGGUCGAGGAAUCCGGUGCCGAUAAUGAUCGGGAAUAAGACAUGUACCGAAACCGCGGACUCGUAAGAGUGGUAGAGGAGCGUUCCUAUCAGCGCAGAAGCGUUUCCGUAAGGAUGCGUGGAGCGGUAGGAAGUGAAUAUGUCGGCUUGAGUAACGAUAAAUGGAGUGAGAAUCUCCAUCGCCGAAAACCUAAGGUUUCCUGGGGAAGGUAAAUCCGCCCAGGGUUAGGCGGGACCUAAGGCGAGGCCGAAAGGCGUAGUCGAUGGACAGCAGGUCAACAUUCCUGCCCCGUCAUGUAAGGUUGAUCCAGCGCGACGGAUCAUGAAGCUUUGUGGGACAGUGAAGCGUCCAGGCCCUUGAGGCCGAUGCAAGGUGGAUUGGUUCCAAGAAAAACCGUCUGGUGACGAACAUGACGCCCGUACUAAAACUGACACAGGUAGGUGUGGCGAAAAGCCUCAGGCGCUCGAGAGAACCGUUGUGAAGGAACUAGGCAAAUUGACCCCGUACGUUCGCAAUAAGGGGGCCCUCCUGGAAACAGAGGGCGCAGAGAAAAGGCUCUGGCGACUGUUUAUCAAAAACACAGCACUGUGCGAACACGCAAGUGGACGUAUACAGUGUGACGCCUGCUCGGUGCCGGAAUGUUAAGGAAGUGGGUUAGCUUCGGCGAAGCUCAUGACUGAAGCACCGGUAAACAGCGGCCGUAACUAUGACGGUCCUAAGGUAGCGAAGUUCCUUGUCGGGUAAGUUCCGACGUGCAUGAAUGGCGUAACGACUGGAGCACUGUCUCCACAACGGACUCGGUGAAAUAGUAGUGGCGGUGAAGAUGCCGCCUACCCGCAGCAAGACGGAAAGACCCCGUGGACCUUUACUGCAGGCAUAUAUUGGUCAUGGAUUGGUACUGUGUAGGAUAGGUGGGAGACGUUGAAGCCAUCAUUCCGGUGAUGGUGGAGUCAUCCUUGAAAUACCACCCUGUGUUGAUUUGUGGCCUAACCCCGAUACCCAUGAAGCUGGGCGGGGGACCAUGUAUGCUGGGCGGUUUGACUGGGGCGGUCUCCUCCUAAAAGGUAACGGAGGAGCGCAAAGGUUAGCUCAGCGCGGUUGGAAACCGCGUGUCGAGUGUAAGAGCACAAGCUAGCUUUACUGCAAGACAUACAGGUCGAGCAGUUACGAAAGUAGGCUCUAGUGAUCCUGCGAUCCCGUGUGGAAGGGUCGUAGCUCAUCGGAUAA
Molecule: ribosomal RNA, 2082 nt
Filed under: marine metagenome
Description: bacterial LSU rRNA
Rfam family: Bacterial large subunit ribosomal RNA
Source: RNAcentral